Molecule: ribosomal RNA, 519 nt
Filed under: Penicillium sp. FL-2014b
Lineage: Eukaryota; Fungi; Ascomycota; Eurotiomycetes; Eurotiales; Aspergillaceae
Description: eukaryotic LSU rRNA
Rfam family: 5.8S ribosomal RNA (bases 216-369)
Source: RNAcentral
CGUAACAAGGUUUCCGUAGGUGAACCUGCGGAAGGAUCAUUACUGAGUGAGGGCCCUCUGGGUCCAACCUCCCACCCGUGUUUAUUGUACCUUGUUGCUUCGGUGCGCCCGCCUCACGGCCGCCGGGGGGCUUCUGCCCCCGGGUCCGCGCGCACCGGAGACACCAUUGAACUCUGUCUGAAGAUUGCAGUCUGAGCAUAAACUAAAUAAGUUAAAACUUUCAACAACGGAUCUCUUGGUUCCGGCAUCGAUGAAGAACGCAGCGAAAUGCGAUAACUAAUGUGAAUUGCAGAAUUCAGUGAAUCAUCGAGUCUUUGAACGCACAUUGCGCCCCCUGGUAUUCCGGGGGGCAUGCCUGUCCGAGCGUCAUUGCUGCCCUCAAGCACGGCUUGUGUGUUGGGCUCCGUCCCCCCGGGGACGGGUCCGAAAGGCAGCGGCGGCACCGAGUCCGGUCCUCGAGCGUAUGGGGCUUUGUCACCCGCUCUGUAGGCCCGGCCGGCGCCAGCCGACAACCAAUCA